Agelaius phoeniceus (red-winged blackbird) is the source of this 374-nucleotide long non-coding RNA. RefSeq lists it as uncharacterized. The record is from RefSeq and is a predicted model, not a curated record. Lineage: Eukaryota; Metazoa; Chordata; Aves; Passeriformes; Icteridae.
UCACCAGUCAGAAAGGAUUGGUCACAGCCUCUUCUGAAGAAGGUCAGCAAACAACUCAACCACCCAAAGGAAGUGAAGACCUCCUCAGGGAAGUGUAUUUCUGUGAGGAAAAAGACAGCCACCAUUUAAAGAGGAAUUUACUUUCUGCAAUCGUGUCAAAGGCUCAGACUUAAAAAUAAGUUUUGCACAAGCGUGCUUUCUAUCUCUGAAUUAUAAGUAUGUGAAAAUAAGAGAAAAUACUGAAGAAGGAAAAGCACUCUCUGAGCAACUAUCAUCUGCAGGCAUUCUGAGCAUCAAUGUACAAAAAGUGAGAUGGAGAGUUAAACAGCACUGUGCUUGAGAAUUGUAUUCUAGAGCUGCAAAAAAUUUCCUCU